GUGACUCCGUCCUGGUCCCUCUUUCCUGCAGGAUUAACAGGGCCUGGGGCAGAGGUGAUGUUGGUGGCCAUCCCGGAAGCAGCUGUCAAGACCCUGAUCCUCCUCCCCUGCCUCCUAGUCCUCAUAGGCAGGUACCACAGGAUGAAGGCACUGGGGCCAAAAGGGGGCAUGAAGGAUGCAGACACAGUCUCAGGUUAAUCGCUCAGCCUCUGGUGAUGGCCAUCUCUGCCCAAUCAUGCUGGGAUUGUUCCUGGGGCCUCAUCUCUUCCCUGGGUCCCCGAUCCCACCAGCUACCUGUCUCCAGAUUGUGUUUCCAGAGACUUAUCGCCUACUUCCUGCACAGUGUGAACAAUGACGCUUCCUCUCCAUGGCCAGAGAUGAGGAUCAACCACCACAGGCUGGACUUGAGGGCUCAGCGUGGUCUGUCUCCUGCUGGACUCUCCACUAGAUUCUAUGAUCUCCCUGCCUCUCACAUCAUCUCCACAUCUGGCUGGGCCACGGCCUUUGUGAUUCUGAGACUUUGCAUGUGCAGUUCCUUCUGCUGAAAUUUCCUUCCCUCCCGAUCCCUACAUCUCCAACGGA
Long non-coding RNA from Myotis daubentonii (Daubenton's bat), 582 nucleotides. RefSeq lists it as uncharacterized. The record is from RefSeq and is a predicted model, not a curated record. NCBI's taxonomy places the organism in Eukaryota, Metazoa, Chordata, Mammalia, Chiroptera, Vespertilionidae.